UCUGGGUCAGUACCUAGCAGAAAAUGCAAAUGGACUUGCAUGAAAGAGCGUUUGGCAGAAAAUCUGCAAUUAAAUAGUAAUAUUGAAGAUUCAAAUGGAAAAGCUUUCUGGCGCAAAAUUCUUGGUUUCUAGAAUUUCUUGCCAAAGUACUACUGAAGCCAGGAUUUUGCAGAUUGUGUCUGUCUUGCGGAACCAGGGAGGACUUCCCAGGCAUGGUCUGGCUCCACGCUCGGACGAGAUCAAGUCUGACAAGUUGGGUUCCCCUGAGAGCGGGAUGCACAUAUGUUUUGGAAAGAACCUGGCCUAAAAUUAAGCUUGCAGUUUGGAAGAAGCUGAAAAUGGGCAUAUGAAAGGAAGCAAAAGGAAAUGCAAUACAGUACUUCCAAAACUAAUCGGUCAGGAGAGAAUUAUUGCAGACCUAGAUCCUUAAUGGGAGGAAACUGCACAGAAGGCAGAAAUGACUGAAAUGACCUAGAGAUGACAGGGCCUGUAAAAAUGAGGUGAAUAUAUAAGACUCAGUAUCCUCCUGAGGACACUCUCUUCCAUCUAGCUGUGGCUGUGGACAGUGGUGACCACCAAUUUGCCUUCCCUCCCCUGGCAAGAAGGACCAGGACGUAAACUGCCAGCUGACAGGAACUGCAGGAUUGCUUCUGUAAUGACUGUUUCACAUUAUGGGGAGGUUCUCAACUGUGGGAAGGAGAAACUGAGAAGCAUAAGGGCUGAAGAGAAGACACCUCUAGCAACCUGCAGCCUGGAAAGACAAAGAUAGAGAUAUGAUCAUCCUGUUCUGCUCAGCAUUUGUCAGGUGGCACCUGGAGUCCAGUUUCAGACCCUACAGGUCAAAAAAGAGACGGUCAGACUGGAAGGGGUCCAAAGGAGGGCCAUGAAGAUCAUCAAAAGGCUGGAGAAUGUAAGGAAAGAUGGAAGGAGUUCGGUCUUUUUACCCUGGAGAAGUGAAGGCUCAGGGGACUCAGUUUUCCAGUACUUAAAGGGUGGCUACAAAAGAGGAGGGAGACUUUCCAGGAGCCACAUGGAGAGGACAAGGCAGAAUGAGAAAGAAUGGUGGGGAUAUUUACUAUUGUGCUACCAUAAACCACCACACUCAGUACUGUUUCUGCCAAAAUGAAAAAAGAAAAUGUUAACUGACAACUAAAGUUUAGAACAGCAGGUGACUCUUGUUAGCAGCAGGUCUGAGGUGCCUCUGGAUGCAAAGCGGCGAUUCUGUUAGUCAUCAUACGUUUUGGAUCUCCCUGUUGCUUUGAAAAGUGUGAAGCACUGCCAAAUCCCAUUGGGUUACAGCCUGCCCACACCCAGAACUAAAAUACAGCUCCAGAUCUCUGAAGUGCCAGUUUAAUGCCAGUACACGGAAGGGUACCACCAAAGGACAGAGACAAGAAGCCUCCCCGUCUGCAGAAGAUUCACAGCUUCUAUUUUGUGAGGAUUAUUGGGAUGAUGAAUAAGUGCUAUGAAGUUUACUUCACAGUCUUCAAGUCUUCUGUCAGAGCUUUCAAAAUAGUCAUUUGGAUUUGCAAACUUUCACAGUACUUUGGCAGCACUGCUCAGUACUUUCCUACAACACAGAUACCUUUCCACAGAAGCAUUAGCUAUGCAAGCAGAGCUAUUACGUUAUGAAAAAUGCCUGUAGAGUUUCUCAUAGAGCAACAGGAGAACAGAAAGACCAUUCUUUCACCCCUUUCUGCUGCUAGGCACCCCGGCCCCAACAGACAGCAGGUCACUGCAGGCUACUUUGCCCUCCUCUUCUUAAUUCCCCAGCAAUCUGCACAAAGAAGUACCCUGCUCCACCCCCUGCAUAACCAGACACAAGGCUGAACCAAGGCAGGAUGCACACAACAUGAAAUAUCCUCACGGUGUAAGAGCAAAGCAUGGGAUUGGCUUUGCAAGUAUCUGUUUUAUAGUAGCUUGAUGUGGACUGUAAUUCCUUAUGCUGUGCUGACUCACACAAGUGUUCAAUAGGAUAAAGAUCUUAAUAUGAUCUAUUGAGUUUGUCCUGAUCCACUUUUGGUGCAUUAUUCUACUAAUGGCAACUUAGUAGGUUCCAACCAAAGAAUGAAAACCGGCCAUUCUUGUACUCUAUUCUCUGAUAAAACCCUUGAGCUAGAUUCUGAUAUCUCUACUGAAGUUUUGAAGUGAUGGACCAGGUCCACACACACCUGCUCUGAUUAGAAAUCUCCUUAGAGUAAAUGCAAUCUGAAUUAGAAAUCUUAUAGUAGAUACUCCAGGAUCUGUGGAAGUACUGAAUUUUAUCUCCAUCUUUAUUUCUCAAGAUACAGGUUGUCCCUAGGGACUGUCCCCACUCUCCGUGGGUACUUCUGCACCAGCACACCCCAGAGGGCCCCUGGAUCCAGAGAUCCCAGGUGCCAGUCAGUUCUCCCUUAAGGUGAGAUCUCCUUUCCUCUUCCUUCCCAGAGGUCCUUGGAAGGAAGGCAGCAAAUCAAAAAGGCCCACUGGCUCAGAGGUGACUCCUAGCAGUGCUUUAAACAGUUUGAGCAGGACAGGCAGGGGUACUUCCCGGAGCUGGGAAUGUAGGCUCGACUCAUCCCUCCAAAGCCAUGCUUGGAUGCUAGCCCAGGUGGAGGAGAGCUUAGCUAUCUCUUCCACACAGUCCUUCACGUGAGAAGGCUUUUCUGAGUGAUUUGAGAGGGUACUGAAGAAGACAGCGAAACGGGCAGCACCGGCCGAAAGAAACAGUGCAGUAAGUGUGCGCACACCGAUCCGUUGUACUCGGCAGUGGUUUAUCCAUCUUCAGGAAAACAAGAGCCAAACCUCAGAGUCCUUCUCAGGAGGGAAUCCUGUGUGGCAUGUCAGGAUCCAUAGUUCGGAUCACAGGAGGGAGAUGGCGUGUCUUCCCUGGCCUCCAUGGAUCCCCACAAGCUCAUCCCAGCACCAGCCACGGAUGGGAGCAACUGAGGAACUGCCCAGCAUCAUCUGCCCUUCAUGACCUUCUGCAUGAGGCUGGUGGAUCUGUGGCUGCUGACACAAAGGACUGCAAUGUCUGCGUGGCUAUGUAUGGCCUUCUUUCUCUCUGGGGGUCUGAUACAAAAUCUAGUGAAGAAUGUUGGAGUAUUUUGCUUCUUGGAGGUUUUUUCCCCUGUGCAGAUUUAUAUUACUUUUUUUUUGUUUAAAGAUGUGGAGUGUACUAUAUAUAAGAUGUACCACGUAUUUUUUUAAAAAGCCCACAAUUUUAUUUUGGUUUUGGCAGCUGAAAGUCUAAACAUUUAGGUAAAGAACAGAGGUGUUGGGUUUGCGUUGCCAAAAUCUUACUCAUAAGGUACCCUAUCCCAUUAUUUUUUCCAUCUGUUUUGUCUCUUAGACAUUAUUGCAGCAGCUUAAGAGUUUAAUUUAUUUCUACCGCGGCAUAGGAAGAGGAUGUGAGAAGAGUCAGAACUGCUUAAAACCAUAACCUUAACUGCUGAAAUAUUCUAUUUAUGAAAACACCUUCUGAAUUUAUGUUCAAAAUCCUCCACCUGAUUUGCUGACUGAGGAGGAAGAGAGAGCAAGGGAUUUUUCUAUGUCAGUUCUGCACAAUUACGGCUGUAUUGAAUAUUUAAAUACGUAUUUGCAGUCAGUGCAUACUGUUAUACACCUUUUUAUUUUCUUGUGUAUGACAAUUUGUGAAAGAUUACAGUUACCUUUUUAUUAGAGUAAAAACAAAAUAUCCAACAAAUACUGAAUUAUAGUAUCAUGUAAGUUGAUGUUAUUUUCUAUUUUACUCCAAAACUCUUUGUGAGUACUAAUGCCAGUAGCAGAUUUGGGAGAUAUGUUACAGGCAGCAUGUUGUCUGGAUGAUGGCAGGGGUAAAGAAACCUAGAACAAAGACGAUUUUGGGAAAACCAAGAGCCUUUUAAUCUGUAUUCAGACACCUAACUAAGAGCUGGUCUGCUCAGUCCUCGAGUACCUGAAGGCUGCUUGCACAAGCAGCUUCAUUCUGCAGCAUCGCUAUGUCUGUAUGGACAGCUUCAUCCACUCUGCUCUCAGGCUCCCUGUGCACCUGAAACAUGUCUCCAAACCAUAAAUAAUAGUUUCUGGCUGGCGUAGAGCCUCAGUCCUGGAGGCUGAUUUAUGGACCUUCAGGAAGUAUGAGCCAGCCCUUGAGGCCGGAGGCCCAACCUUCCAUAUUUUAAUAUCCAGAUCCAGGAGGAUAUAGGAGUG
Molecule: long non-coding RNA, 4170 nt
Organism: Falco peregrinus (peregrine falcon)
Lineage: Eukaryota; Metazoa; Chordata; Aves; Falconiformes; Falconidae
Exons: 13
Source: RefSeq, a predicted model, not a curated record